GAUGAACGCUGGCGGCGUGCCUAAUACAUGCAAGUCGAGCGAACAGAUGAGGAGCUUGCUCCUCUGCCGUUAGCGGCGGACGGGUGAGUAACACGUGGAUAACCUACCUAUAAGACUGGGAUAACUACGGGAAACCGGAGAUAAUACCGGAUAAUAUAUUGAACCGCAUGGUUCAAUAGUGAAAGACGGUUUUGCUGUCACUUAUAGAUGGAUCCGCGCCGCAUUAGCUAGUUGGUAAGGUAACGGCUUACCAAGGCAACGAUGCGUAGCCGACCUGAGAGGGUGAUCGGCCACACUGGAACUGAGACACGGUCCAGACUCCUACGGGAGGCAGCAGUAGGGAAUCUUCCGCAAUGGGCGAAAGCCUGACGGAGCAACGCCGCGUGAGUGAUGAAGGUCUUCGGAUCGUAAAGCUCUGUUAUUAGGGAAGAACAAAUGUGUAUGUAACUAUGCACGUCUUGACGGUACCUAAUCAGAAAGCCCCGGCUAACUUCGUG
Molecule: ribosomal RNA, 497 nt
Filed under: uncultured bacterium
Lineage: Bacteria
Description: partial 16S ribosomal RNA
Rfam family: Bacterial small subunit ribosomal RNA
Source: RNAcentral